Molecule: microRNA precursor, 96 nt
Organism: Pteropus vampyrus (large flying fox)
Lineage: Eukaryota; Metazoa; Chordata; Mammalia; Chiroptera; Pteropodidae
Source: Ensembl
AAUGUUCAGGGCUAUUUGAGGAGAGGUUAGCCAUGUUGUGCUCACUCCGUUCAUCAUGAAUAAUACAUGGUUAACCUCUUUUGGAAUAUCAAACUC